UACAGCUUGUACAGUGGCAUCUCAGUUUUGCUGAGAAACUAUUAAUUUGAUGUUAUGAAAACGAGAUCUUCAGCUAUGAGGCGCCCUCAUACUCGGAGCCUUUGACCCCGGUUUAUCCUGGAGUUCAAGCCCUGAUAAUCUAUGUGCUUGAAGCUCAUCUUGGUGGAUAAUGGAAAAUUCUGCUCCAUUUCCUCUGGGACUUCAUGCUCAUUAGUCACAGCAUACCAAUUAAAAGCUUUGUUAGAAAACCAGAGGAAUGUGACACAGCACAUGUACAAACCAGGAAGCUUCAUUCACAUAUAGCAUGGAUGAAUGGCUCUGUAUGGAGAGCUAAGCAUCGCAUUAGCAGGUCGUGUGCAUCAGCAUGCAAGAUCAACAAAAGACAUGCAAGAAUUUUUAAGUCAGCACUCUCAAUAAGCAAUGAAUUUUAAUUCUGAACAAUGAGAGUUAUAGUAUUUUUCAAUGCCUACACCUUUCUUCUAACCAAAGUACUCUCAGAGACAACCAGCACCGCCUUGCUCUCGUUGAGUUACGGUAAUGUGAGGACUUCUGAAGUAAACUGAAACAGGCACUGAAGUUGUGCACGUUAAAGGAAAACACAUGGAGGAUUCCUUGCUGCUGCCUCCCCAUGGAGGCGCAAACUCAAUGGGGUGACUGACUACUGACUUUGUAAAAUGAAUUAGACUGCAGCAUGCAUUCAGCUCCACAGUGUUUCCACAGAAUUUAUGCAAUCUCAUCCACAGUCUGAAUUUGGUUCUCUGGUACAUCUCUGACAGGAAAAGCUAUGAAAUGGAAGCUCUUGAGAGAUAACUUGGCCUUUAAAAAUUCUCUAGGUUUUAUUUGAAUAUCAGAAAGAAUCAUUUCCAAACUUUGUCCAUGACUGACUAUUUCUUUAUUUUAAAACCAAAACAAGCUUUGAGAUAAUUAACAUUACACAUACAGAUUAUACAGUCGUUAUUUGAGCUUGCCAUAAGAAGGUGGUGGGAAAGUCAUAGUUAAUUCUACUUCUCAUGGUGCUGCUAUUGCUUGUUUUGCCUGAAGAGCCCACAGAUUUGUAUCCCAAGAUAUAACUAAAGUCCGCUGUACCCAGUCUAAUAACUAGAGAUGGGACAAACUAACCUUGCCUAGUUUGAGACUCAACUGAAUAUGAGACACCAAGAGUUUUACUCUAAAUGUGUUGGAGUUGCAUUUCAAUCAUCACAGUCUGCAAAGUAAAGAACACAGACAGAACAAGGGAAGAAGAUGAUUUGGAAGAAUACAGAGUGAAAAAUAAAGCAAAGUGAAAAGAUGUGAAGACCAGUAACGAAACAAAUAUCAAUACUUAGUAAGAUAAAACAGAGAAAGGAAAUUGAAAAGUCAGUCGUUAUUGUAGUCUUUGCUUUUAUCAAAUAAAAGUAUGGGUGACAAACACUCAUAAUGCUCUUCUAUCAGUAAAACAACCCAUAGGUGAAAGAAAUAUUUUAAUUGAUUCAGACCUGAAACAGAAUGGAAAACGAAAGGUUUACAUAUCCCCAUUUUUUCUCCAAAAUCUGGACAUCAAUGUGCUGGUUCCUCCGGCACUCAGCUUCAGAGAGUCAUUGGUGCUGCUGACAGUACCUGGUUUGAAAGAAAAAGCCCUAGCUCCAGAUCUCCAGAAGAGUGGGCAGCGAGAAGCUUUGCUUGGCCACCUCCAGUUAGGAGCUGCAUCCCACUGAGAGUUUUCCAGAGUGGGGACAAAGUGGAAGAAGACAAAGCAGGAAGCUAAAGGGAAGUUAGAAUAGGCAAAAAGAGUUCAUAAAAACACAGAGACAUGGAAAAUCCCAAGUUAGAAGGGACCCACAAGGAUCACCAAGUCCAAACCACGCCUCCACACAAAGUAUGCCUGAAAGCGGUGUCCAAACACUCCUUGAACUCUGGCCAUG
Non-coding RNA from Coturnix japonica (Japanese quail), 1901 nucleotides. The record is from RefSeq and is a predicted model, not a curated record. NCBI's taxonomy places the organism in Eukaryota, Metazoa, Chordata, Aves, Galliformes, Phasianidae.